UAAACCUAUAUAGUAUGUUAUACUGAAUACCAUAGACAAUGUUUAACAUGAUGGUAAGGGUAUAAAUACCUAAACACAGAAAUGAUACAGUAGGAACAUUAUAUAUAAAAUUUAAAAAUAUCAAGGCGCUAUGGUGCACGCCUGUAAUUCCAGUGGCUCAGGAAGCUUAGGCAGGAGGAUCACGAGUUCAAAGCCAGCCUCAGCAAAAAACAAGGCGCUGAGCAACUCAAUGAAACUCUGUUUCUAAAAAAAAUACAAAAAAUAGGGAUGGAGAUGUGGCUCAGUGGCUGAGUGCCCCUGGGUUCAAUACCCGGUACCCAAAAUAAAUAAAAUAAAUGGUACACCUGUGAAGGGCACUUACCACAGAUACAACUUGCAGGACUUGAUGUUGCUAUUGGUGAAUCAGUGAGAGAUCUGUGAUUGAAUGUGAAGUUUUAGGACAUAAUUGGGCACUACUACAGACUUUAUAAACUCUAUAAACUUAGAUUAUACUAAAUUCGUAAAAAUAUUUUCUUUCCACAAGGAUAACCUAAGCUUGCUGUAACUUUUACUUUGUAAACUUUGAUUUUUUAAAAAAUCUUUUUAAAUCUUGUGAUAACACUUAUCUUGGCACUUUGUACAGCUGUGUAAAAAUAUUUUCUUUACAUAUUCUAUAAACUUCUAUAUUACUAUUUUAUUUAUUUAUUUAUUUAUUUAUUUAUUUAUUAGUUUUUAAACUUUGUUAAAAGCUAAGGUACAAACACACACCUCACCCUAGGCCUACACAGGGUCAGGAUCACCAAUAUCACUCUCUUCCAUUUCAACAUCUGUCUGGUGGAAAUUCUCCAGGGGCAAUAACACAGAGUUUUCCUUUUCUAUGAUGAUGCUUUUUUCCUGGAAUCCCUCCUGAAGGACCUGACUGAGACUAUUCUUCAGGAGGUGUCAAGAUUUUUCAUAAAUAUUGGGGGUUUGCUUCUUUUCUUUUCAUUAUAGAAUUGCUUGUGAGCAGGUAAUAUAUACCUUGAACAUUCUUCUCUAUUAAUGAAAACAUGAUUAUUGGGGUCCGUGUUUUCAAACUUUUAAAGAAAAGCUUAUCGAGGACUGCAGCUCUCUUCUAAACCCUUCACUGAUUUUUUUUCCUCCUUCUGAGUUUUUUUCCACCCUCUUGCCCUUUUGUUAGGUAUGCAUUUACUCUGUGAUAGGCAUUUUUAAGCUCUGUUAUGUUGGUAUAGAAUCAACAUAGGAUAUGUGGCCCAUUGUUAACUGACAUGUUAGGCAAUGCAUGACUAUAUUGUUAAGCAGUAUUAUCUAAGUUCAAUAGUUAUUGGGGUUUUUUUUAAAGUUUGUUAAUAAAAUUUUUUUCUAUCAUUUUUUGUGUUGAGUCUGAAGGUGAGUUGGAAUGUACUUCUAAUAAGGUAUGUUUAAUUUUUAUAUAAAUGUAUGAUUUUUCUGUGAUAGACCAUUGAAAAAUGAGUCUUAGCAAAUUGUUGGGAUUUUCUUACUGUUCUUAAUGUGGCAAGUUUUGGAACAUCUUCAUGCAUUACAUAUCUCUACCUUUUUUAUGGUAAAAGCUACUUCUUUUGGGUGCUCAUAAAGUCUAUUCCAUUUUCUUUGCUAAUAAAGAGUUGGUAUCAAGUAUGUAAAG
This 1624-nucleotide long non-coding RNA is filed under the name Marmota monax (woodchuck). The record is from RNAcentral. Lineage: Eukaryota; Metazoa; Chordata; Mammalia; Rodentia; Sciuridae.